UGUGAUUUGGGGCAAGGGUUAGGCCA
Molecule: non-coding RNA, 26 nt
Filed under: Homo sapiens (human)
Lineage: Eukaryota; Metazoa; Chordata; Mammalia; Primates; Hominidae
Source: RNAcentral